UCAUCAGUUUUCAGCUGCGUGGUGUCACCGGGGUUUGUCCCGGGGUUAAUUUUCGCUAUCGCUCCCAACCGCCGCCGCUCUUUUUCCACUCAAAAGUCCUUUCCGUCAUCAUCCUCCGACAAUAGCCCUCGUUCGAGGAACGAGAUAUCACCAUCUGGUAAAGUUUUAUGCGUUUAACGUCAUUUUAUAUGUGAGCGGAAUGAGUAACUGCUUUUCCUCGCCCGUUUCUUUGUAGGGAGAAGCAGGAGUUUUUAAACCAUCUUCCCGUGGCAUCUGACUUCCUCGAGGAGGAGAAUGCACCCAAGAGCAGAAGCAGUGAGGAAAAUGAAUCCAGCAGUCUGUCCCAUCCUGUACCCGCCUGAGUACAGGAGGAGACCUCUUACGAAGCCAGAAUGUGUCUGGGCUUGCAGCUCUUUUUAACCAUAUUAAGUCCUAUUCAGAGUUAAUGAUGAGGUCAGUGAGGCUGGUCCAAGAGGUGCUGAAGGAGGGAGGAACAGAGUUGGAAGGCAGGAGCUAUUUCAAAGCAGGAUGAUUCUUCUUUCUGUAGAGCGCCGUUUCCAGAAGGCAAGGACUUUAUAAACUU
This is a long non-coding RNA of Calidris pugnax (ruff), 583 nucleotides long. RefSeq lists it as uncharacterized. The record is from RefSeq and is a predicted model, not a curated record. Lineage: Eukaryota; Metazoa; Chordata; Aves; Charadriiformes; Scolopacidae. The transcript has 3 exons.